AUUUUUACUGGGUGCAACCACUUGGUGAGGGCCCGGAAAUUUGUGUUAAAUCUUAAUGCUAUUGUGAGAAAACAUAUGUUGAAACCAUCAAGAAUAAUGGUUUUCUAGAAAGCAAGAUGCGCCAGAUGGAUUUCUUAUUUGUAUCCUCUGUACAGGGUGCAUCCACUUGGUUAAGGCCGAGAAAUUUGUGUUAAAUCCUGAUGCUAUUGUGAGGAAACAUAUGUUGAAACCAUCAAGAAUAAUGGAUUUCUAGAAAGGAAGAUGUACCAGAUGGAUUUCUUAUUUGUAUCAUCGGUACAGGUUUCAUCCACUUGGUG
Molecule: non-coding RNA, 317 nt
Organism: Musa acuminata subsp. malaccensis (wild Malaysian banana)
Lineage: Eukaryota; Viridiplantae; Streptophyta; Magnoliopsida; Zingiberales; Musaceae
Source: RefSeq, a predicted model, not a curated record